RNAcentral lists this ribosomal RNA (403 nucleotides) under uncultured bacterium. RNAcentral describes it as "partial 16S ribosomal RNA". It matches the Rfam family "Bacterial small subunit ribosomal RNA", at positions 30 to 526 of the family's 1533-position model. The record is from RNAcentral.
AUUGAACGCUGGCGGCAGGCCUAACACAUGCAAGUCGAGCGCGCGGCGGACGGGUGAGUAAUGUAUGGGGACUGCCCGAUAGAGGGGGAUAAAUACUGGAAACGGUAGCUAAUACCGCAUACUAUCGGAUAACCCAUAUGGGGUUAGCUAGUAGGUGAGGUAAUGGCGCACCUAGGCGACGAUCCCUAGCUGGUCUGAGAGAAUGAUCAGCCACACUGGGACUGAGACACGGCCCAGACUCAUACGGAGGCAGAAGUGGGGAAUAUUGCACAAUGGGCGCAAGCCUGAUGCAGCCAUGCCGCGUGUAUGAAGAAGGCCCUAGGGUUGUAAAGUACUUUCAGGCGGGAGGCGUUACCGACAGAAGAAGCACCGGCUAACUCCGUGCCAGCAGCCGCGGUAAUAC